UGUACUUGAAUAUGAUGAAAUGAGUGUUGGUAGGGACAUCUGAUUGCUGAUGAAAUGCCAACCUCUCUGAAUUGUACA
Molecule: small nucleolar RNA, 78 nt
Organism: Polyodon spathula (Mississippi paddlefish)
Lineage: Eukaryota; Metazoa; Chordata; Actinopteri; Acipenseriformes; Polyodontidae
Product: small nucleolar RNA SNORD74
Exons: 1
Source: RefSeq, a predicted model, not a curated record